RNAcentral lists this signal recognition particle RNA (273 nucleotides) under Candidatus Iainarchaeum sp. RNAcentral describes it as "signal recognition particle sRNA". It matches the Rfam family "Archaeal signal recognition particle RNA". Lineage: Archaea; Nanobdellati; Candidatus Iainarchaeota; Candidatus Iainarchaeia; Candidatus Iainarchaeales; Candidatus Iainarchaeaceae. The record is from RNAcentral.
CAUCGGACUAGACCGGGCCGCUAGCGGUGGCUUGUAACCAAAAAUCCGCUUUAUGUUGGGGUCAAAAAGGAGAAAGAGGCUUUGAUGCAAUUAUUUAUGCCAAUAAUUUAACGACGAAACUCUGUCCUCACAGGCUUUUUUGUAAAAUGAACCCCGCCAGGACCGGAAGGUAGCAACGGUAAUCUUGCUAAAAGGCGCUGGAGGGAAGCGGAGUGGAGUUAAGUUAUUGAAACAAAAAUAAAGGCUAAAAGUCCAUUUCUCCCCCGUCCAAAA